CCUACGGGUGGCAGCAGUGAGGAAUAUUGGUCAAUGGGCGUGAGCCUGAACCAGCCAAGUCGCGUGAGGGAUGAAGGUUCUAUGGGUCGUAAACCUCUUUUAUCAGGGAAUAAAGUGCGGGACGUGUCCCGUUUUGUAUGUACCUUAUGAAUAAGGAUCGGCUAACUCCGUGCCAGCAGCCGCGGUAAUACGGAGGAUCCGAGCGUUAUCCGGAUUUAUUGGGUUUAAAGGGUGCGUAGGCGGACUUUUAAGUCAGCGGUGAAAGUCUGGGGCUCAACCCUAUAAGUGCCGUUGAAACUGGGAGGCUUGAGUAGGUUAGAGGUAGGCGGAAUGCGUGGUGUAGCGGUGAAAUGCUUAGAUAUCACGCAGAACUCCGAUUGCGAAGGCAGCAUGCCAAGCCACGACUGACGCUGAUGCACGAAAGCGUGGGUAUCGAACAGGAUUAGAUACCCUGGUAGUC
RNAcentral lists this ribosomal RNA (460 nucleotides) under uncultured bacterium. Its description in RNAcentral is "partial 16S ribosomal RNA". It matches the Rfam family "Bacterial small subunit ribosomal RNA", at positions 338 to 795 of the family's 1533-position model. The record is from RNAcentral.